AACGCUGGCGGCGUGCUUAACACAUGCAAGUCGAACGGUGAUGUCAGAGCUUGCUCUGGCGGAUCAGUGGCGAACGGGUGAGUAACACGUGAGUAACCUGCCCCCGACUCUGGGAUAACUGCUAGAAAUGGUAGCUAAUACCGGAUAUGACGAUUGGCCGCAUGGUCUGGUCGUGGAAAGAAUUUCGGUUGGGGAUGGACUCGCGGCCUAUCAGGUUGUUGGUGAGGUAAUGGCUCACCAAGCCUACGACGGGUAGCCGGCCUGAGAGGGUGACCGGCCACACUGGGACGAGACACGGCCCAGACUCCUACGGGAGGCAGCAGUGGGGAAUAUUGCACAAUGGGCGAAAGCCUGAUGCAGCAACGCCGCGUGAGGGAUGACGGCCUUCGGGUUGUAAACCUCUUUUAGUAGGGAAGAAGCGAAAGUGACGGUACCUNCAGAAAAAGCACCGGCUAACUACGUGCCAGCANCCGCGGUAAUACGUAGGGUGCAAGCGUUGUCCGGAAUUAUUGGGCGUAAAGAGCUCGUAGGCGGUUUGUCGCGUCUGCUGUGAAAUCCCGAGGCUCAACCUCGGGUCUGCAGUGGGUACGGGCAGACUAGAGUGCGGUAGGGGAGAUUGGAAUUCCUGGUGUAGCGGUGGAAUGCGCAGAUAUCAGGAGGAACACCGAUGGCGAAGGCAGAUCUCUGGGCCGUAACUGACGCUGAGGAGCGAAAGCAUGGGGAGCGAACAGGAUUAGAUACCCUGGUAGUCCAUGCCGUAAACGUUGGGAACUAGAUGUGGGGACCAUUCCACGGUCUCCGUGUCGCAGCUAACGCAUUAAGUUCCCCGCCUGGGGAGUACGGCCGCAAGGCUAAAACUCAAAGGAAUUGACGGGGGCCCGCACAAGCGGCGGAGCAUGCGGAUUAAUUCGAUGCAACGCGAAGAACCUUACCAAGGCUUGACAUAUACCGGAAACAUGCAGAAAUGUGUGCCCCGCAAGGUCGGUAUACAGGUGGUGCAUGGUUGUCGUCAGCUCGUGUCGUGAGAUGUUGGGUUAAGUCCCGCAACGAGCGCAACCCUCGUUCUAUGUUGCCAGCACGUAAUGGUGGGAACUCAUAGGAGACUGCCGGGGUCAACUCGGAGGAAGGUGGGGAUGACGUCAAAUCAUCAUGCCCCUUAUGUCUUGGGCUUCACGCAUGCUACAAUGGCCGGUACAAAGGGCUGCGAUACCGUAAGGUGGAGCGAAUCCCAAAAAGCCGGUCUCAGUUCGGAUUGAGGUCUGCAACUCGACCUCAUGAAGUCGGAGUCGCUAGUAAUCGCAGAUCAGCAACGCUGCGGUGAAUACGUUCCCGGGCCUUGUACACACCGCCCGUCAAGUCAUGAAAGUCGGUAACACCCGAAGCCAGUGGCCUAACCGCAAGGGAGGAGCUGUCGAAGGUGGGAUCGGUGAUUAGGACUAAGUCGUAACAAGGUAGCCGUACCGGAAGGNNNGGNUGGAUCACCUCCUUUCU
RNAcentral lists this ribosomal RNA (1491 nucleotides) under Clavibacter michiganensis. Its description in RNAcentral is "bacterial SSU rRNA". It matches the Rfam family "Bacterial small subunit ribosomal RNA". Lineage: Bacteria; Bacillati; Actinomycetota; Actinomycetes; Micrococcales; Microbacteriaceae. The record is from RNAcentral.